GCCAGCCCGCUCAAGAAACUUAAAUGAAGUUGACGGGGCCCGGCACAAGCGGAGGAGCAUGUGGUUUAAUUCGAUGAUACGCGAGGAACCUUACCUGGGCUCGAACGUAAGAUGACUGUAGGUGAAAGCUUACAUCUCUUCGGAGCAUUUUACGAGGUGCUGCAUGGUUGUCGUCAGCUCGUGCCGUGAGGUGUCGGGUUAAGUCCCAUAACGAGCGCGACCCCUACCUUUAGUUGCCAUCAGGUUAAGCUGGGGACUCUAAAGGAACUGCCUACGCAAGUAGUGAGGAAGGCGGGGAUGACGUCAAAUCAGCACGGCCCUUACGUCCAGGGCUACACACGUGCUACAAUGGCCGAUACAGAGGGCAGCUACCUGGUGACAGGAUGCAAAUCUCCAAAGUCGGUCUCAGUUCGGAUCGGAGUCUGCAACCCGACUCCGUGAAGUUGGAUUCGCUAGUAAUCGCGCAUCAGCCAUGGCGCGGUGAAUACGUUCCCGGGCCUU
RNAcentral lists this ribosomal RNA (501 nucleotides) under uncultured Sphingobacteriales bacterium. Its description in RNAcentral is "bacterial SSU rRNA". It matches the Rfam family "Bacterial small subunit ribosomal RNA", at positions 903 to 1382 of the family's 1533-position model. Lineage: Bacteria; Pseudomonadati; Bacteroidota; Sphingobacteriia; Sphingobacteriales. The record is from RNAcentral.